Austrofundulus limnaeus is the source of this 388-nucleotide non-coding RNA. The record is from the annotation of a RefSeq genome assembly. Lineage: Eukaryota; Metazoa; Chordata; Actinopteri; Cyprinodontiformes; Rivulidae.
CUGUGUGUCAAACUGCAGCUCAGGAGCCACUGCAGCCCGUGGUGAGCGUGUACCCAGCAGCAUCCAGAGCCCCCCUGGAGGGGAAGACCUCCCUGCUGUGUCUGGCCUCCAACAUGUUUCCUCCUGAGGUGCGCUUCUCCUGGAACAAGGAGCUGAGCCCUGCUAAAGGAAAGGAGCAGCUGGAGCUCAGAGAGCCGGGACGCAGCGCCUCCAUCUUGCUGCUGGAUCCAGAGGACAGCACGUCUACAUACAGCUGCUCCGUCCAACACGAGGGGGGACAAGUGGACGCUGGAGUCAACAUAGAGCUUCCAGCUGCAGCAGCCUCCUGUCCUCCAGAGACAGAGUCCAGGUCCUUCCAGUCCAGGUCCUUCCAGUCCAGGUCCUUCCA